This is a long non-coding RNA of Chenopodium quinoa (quinoa), 1460 nucleotides long. RefSeq lists it as uncharacterized. The transcript is spliced from 2 exons. Lineage: Eukaryota; Viridiplantae; Streptophyta; Magnoliopsida; Caryophyllales; Amaranthaceae. The record is from RefSeq and is a predicted model, not a curated record.
AUUUUUUUUUUAAAAACUUAAAAAAUAUUUUGGGCCCUGGUGGGUCAUGACCCACCAGGCAUAAGGCCAAGUCCGCCAAUGUAUUGGGACGAUGUCCUCUUUCUUCAGAUGAACUUUGUCUUAAUUAUUUAUCCGAGCAUUAACUAUAUUAAUUUAUGUUAAGAGGAUUUAUAUUUACCCCUAUAUCAUGUUUGUCCCCAAAAAAACAUUAUAUAAACACUUUUAAACCGUGGUAACACAAUAUUAGAUAAGUCUAAUAAUGUAGUAAAAAUAUCAUCAAUUAAGUAUACGUACGUGUCCAAAUUAAAGUGAUGCUAUUGAGGAGUAGAUUUUACUAAUAGUUGAUGCGGAAUUGGGCCAUCCCUUUAGUAUAGGACAAUAUCUAAAUUUUCCAAAUAAUAAUUCUAUGAGAUAUGAGAAUGAACAUUAGUGACUAUGUGCACUUGAUUAAUUAAUUACAAAUUAUUAAUAUUAUUAAUAAGCAUUACCACUCAUAUUAACAAUUACUAUUGGGAUAUUAUUGAGAUCUUUGUGAUAUUAUCUUCUGUAAAUUACAUUGUGUGAGAUAUCCUAGCUUAUCAUUAGAAAGUUAGGAUGUAUGGGAAUAUUAGAGUUUGCCAUUAUGCGCCAAAAUGCAGGUGAACUGUGCGAUGACAGGGAUCAAUUUUACGGUCAAAAGAGACCAAUUCAUUGAAAAUGAGUCGUGUAGUCGUUACCAAGCACUUAACCUACGGCCCGAGAUGGAGAAUGGUAAGAAAAAAACUGGCUCUCGGAUCCGCUGUCGUGUUGUGGAAUGGUCGUAGGAUCACACGUCCUUCUUUUGUGAAGCACUUUGAAGAAGUGGUUACGACCCACAACCCAAUAUUCAUCGUUCUAACUGAAGUGGGGGGUACAUACACCAACUGUGAAAGGGUCAUCAACAAGAUUGAGACGACUAUGAAUUGGAGGCUUGAGCCGGGCAAGGGUUUGAUGGGAGGUUGUGCUCUAUUCUGGGAUCCUGCUAGAGUUAGUCCCAAUGUACUUGUCAAUGACUCCAAGUCCCUUGAACUCCGAAUGAUUGCUUCGGUCACUGCUAAGGAGGUCUAAGGGAGUAGGACUGUUGCUAAGUUGAAGGCUGAUUUGGACGGAUUGUUGCUGUUUAAGCUUGUUGGACUACUGCUUUUUAUGAACUAUCUAAUAUGUAUGCGUUAUUAUUAAUGUGUAUUGGGACACGUCGGUUUGUAAUGUAAAAUAUAUGUUAUGUAAUGUUUUAAUUUGGCCCAUGUAAGCCCCCUAAACUCUUCAAUUAUGUAUUAUGUAUUUAUGUAUUAUGUGUUGUGUUGUGGUAUAAACACUGUCAAAAAUCAGUCCAUGAGGGCUAAAAUUACCAAAGUAAAAUUACCAAAGUUGGAUAAAAUGGACCUACUAGAUACUGUAGUAAAAUUCGAAUAAUUGGACCCUUGGACCCUAAAAAAAAAAAA